Molecule: signal recognition particle RNA, 292 nt
Filed under: Aotus nancymaae (Ma's night monkey)
Lineage: Eukaryota; Metazoa; Chordata; Mammalia; Primates; Aotidae
Description: Metazoan signal recognition particle RNA (ENSANAG00000004924.1)
Rfam family: Metazoan signal recognition particle RNA
About the family: The signal recognition particle (SRP) is a universally conserved ribonucleoprotein. It is involved in the co-translational targeting of proteins to membranes.
Source: RNAcentral
GCCAGGCACAGUGGCGCGUGCCUAUAGUCCCAGCUACUCAGGAAGCUGAGACUGGAGGAUCGCUUGAGUCCAGGAGUUCUGGGCUGUAGUGCACUAUGCCAAUGAGGUGUCUACACUAAGUUUGGCAUCAAUAUGGUGACCUCCCAGGAGCGGGGGACCACCCUAAGAAGGGGUAAACCAGGCCAGGUUGGAAACGGAGCAGGUCAGAGCUCCCGUGCUGAUCAGUAGUGGGAUCCUGCCUGUGAAUAGCCACUGCACUUCAGCCUGGGCAACAUAGCGAGUCCCCAUCUCU